RNAcentral lists this small nucleolar RNA (138 nucleotides) under Ornithorhynchus anatinus (platypus). The record is from RNAcentral. Lineage: Eukaryota; Metazoa; Chordata; Mammalia; Monotremata; Ornithorhynchidae.
CCCCUCUCAGGGUCACACCUGGAAAGUUUCCAGUACUUUACCAGUCUUGGCUACCGGAGGGAGAGUCAAGCAGAGACCUACACAUUCUAUUCCUAUCUUGGCCAGUGGCUAGUGAGUGGAAGACAAUCUGCUACAAGU